GAAAGAAAGAAAUAAAGAUAGAAAGAAUAAGAGAAAGGGAGAGAGAGAGAGAAAGGAAAGAAAAAAAGAUGAUCGCGUUUGGUUCUCUUACGGUGCCUUUCGUGGAGCAACGCGACUUUCGAAGCAACACAACGCAACCAACACAACGGGCACGCGUCUAACUAUCAACCAUGGAGCUUUAGUCAAAUGGACGUCUGAAGUAUCUUCCUUAUCGAUCACCUACGAUACCAUAUACAUAAUUAACGCUUCUCAAAAUCGUUAACACAUCAAUCGAACAAGUAUGGACCAGUAUGCAAAAUCGAUUAUCAUCACGUAACGGUAAUAAGAGGCGAACUAGAGAAAAUACGAUGAGUUCUCUGAAGCUAACGUCAUCAUCGUCUCACGGCACCUUCGUAGUCAGCCGCGAAGCUGCAUUUGC
This is a long non-coding RNA of Polistes dominula (European paper wasp), 418 nucleotides long. Lineage: Eukaryota; Metazoa; Arthropoda; Insecta; Hymenoptera; Vespidae. The record is from RefSeq and is a predicted model, not a curated record.